UACGUAGGUGGCAAGCGUUGUCCGGAUUUAUUGGGCGUAAAGGGCGCGCAGGCGGUCCGUUUAGUCCGAGGUGAAAUCUCCCGGCUCAACUGGGAGGGGUCUUUGGAUACUGGCGGACUUGAGGUGAGCAGAGGUGAGCGGAAUUCUGGGUGUAGUGGUGAAAUGCGUAGAUAUCCAGAGGAACACCAGUGGCGAAGGCGGCUCACUGGGCUCCACCUGACGCUGAGGCGCGAAAGCGUGGGGAGCGAACCGG
Molecule: ribosomal RNA, 253 nt
Filed under: uncultured bacterium
Lineage: Bacteria
Description: partial 16S ribosomal RNA
Rfam family: Bacterial small subunit ribosomal RNA
Source: RNAcentral